Macaca mulatta (Rhesus monkey) is the source of this 1015-nucleotide non-coding RNA. The record is from RefSeq and is a predicted model, not a curated record. NCBI's taxonomy places the organism in Eukaryota, Metazoa, Chordata, Mammalia, Primates, Cercopithecidae.
UUUUUUUUUUUUCUCCUUCUAGGAACUUGAAAGAUUACACUUUGCUGUCCUCCUUGCAACUGGGGCCAUGUGGUCCUGGCCAAUAGGUUAUGAGGUGAAGUCACAUGUAUCACUUUCAGGCUGAAAUAUUUAAUUGCUGGUGUAAGAACCUCUUGCACUCUCUUCCCUUACUUCAGCAAACCUUGCUACCUGGAGCAGCUGGAAUGAUCCUAGAUGACUGAAACCUACAAUGUGUUGGUCAACACUAAAUAAGUGGAUGAACAAGGAUGCAAGGCGGUGUGUAAUAAGGAAAAAAGCACUGCGCCAGGGGGCAGAGUUGUUUCCAGAUAUUUAACCUGAUGUGAUUGGAAUAGCUGGUUCAAUAGUCUCUUCAAAGGCUUUUGUCUUUGUGUCUGAGGAUGGAGCUCCAAGUCCAAUCUUCCUAAGGCUUUGAUACCUUCCUCUGCACUAUUCCAGGAAAGUUCUUCAGACCAAGUUACAGGCUCCAGAAACUUCUGAAAACAAAAGGAGAAAAUACAAAGGCCUUUGUGCGCAGAUCAGGCCUAUGAUGUUCCUUUUAUCCUCACAUGGAUUUGUUUAGCGAGUUAAUGCAGUGCUUGUGUAUGUGAUUAAAUUUAAGCCAGUCAUCAUGGAAUACAAUUAUGAAGGCUGCGGGGUCCAUAUUUUGAAACAGAAGCAGGAAAACAACAUGAACUUGUUAGAGGAUGAAUCCAGACUUUGAUCUUAGCAAAUACAUAAACAGUAACAAGAUAGAAAUAAAAGGAAGAUGGAAACUUGGACACAGAGACACAAACAUACACAGGGAAGAAGCCAUGUGAAGACACAGGCAGAGAUUGAAGUGAUGGAUCCAUAAGCCCAAGAUCAGCAAGGAUUACCUGCAGCCACUACAAGCUAGGAGAGGGACCUGGGAUAGUUUCUCCUUCAGAGCUUCUAGACAGAACCUUUCGUUUAUCUCUCCUACUUCAUUACCUGCUUCCUGAGAUCAUUUCCCAAAUAAACUACCUGCACUUUCACU